CGAGGCGUAGCGUAGCUGGUUAGCGCAUCUGCUUUGGGAGCAGAAGAUCGAGAGUUCGAAUCUCUCCGCUUCGACCA
Molecule: transfer RNA, 77 nt
Filed under: Bacilli bacterium
Lineage: Bacteria; Bacillati; Bacillota; Bacilli
Also listed under: 1 other name
Description: tRNA-Pro
Rfam family: tRNA
About the family: Transfer RNA (tRNA) molecules are approximately 80 nucleotides in length. Their secondary structure includes four short double-helical elements and three loops (D, anti-codon, and T loops).
Source: RNAcentral